GACCGCCUGGGGAGUACGGCCGCAAGGUUAAAACUCAAAUGAAUUGACGGGGGCCCGCACAAGCGGUGGAGCAUGUGGUUUAAUUCGAUGCAACGCGAAGAACCUUACCUGGUCUUGACAUCCACGGAAGUUUUCAGAGAUGAGAAUGUGCCUUCGGGAACCGUGAGACAGGUGCUGCAUGGCUGUCGUCAGCUCGUGUUGUGAAAUGUUGGGUUAAGUCCCGCAACGAGCGCAACCCUUAUCCUUUGUUGCCAGCGAUUAGGCCGGGAACUCAAAGGAGACUGCCAGUGAUAAACUGGAGGAAGGUGGGGAUGACGUCAAGUCAUCAUGGCCCUUACGACCAGGGCUACACACGUGCUACAAUGGCGCAUACAAAGAGAAGCGACCUCGCGAGAGCAAGCGGACCUCAUAAAGUGCGUCGUAGUCCGGAUUGGAGUCUGCAACUCGACUCCAUGAAGUCGGAAUCGCUAGUAAUCGUGGAUCAGAAUGCCACGGUGAAUACGUUCCCGGGCCUUGUACACACCGCCCGUCACACCAUGGGAGUGGGUUGCAAAAGAAGUAGGUAGCUUAACCUUCGGGAGGGCGCUUACCACUUUGUGAUUCAUGACUGGGGUGAAGUCGUAACAAGGUAACCGUAGGGGAACCUGCGGUUG
RNAcentral lists this ribosomal RNA (653 nucleotides) under Salmonella enterica. RNAcentral's name for it is "bacterial SSU rRNA". It matches the Rfam family "Bacterial small subunit ribosomal RNA", at positions 867 to 1520 of the family's 1533-position model. The record is from RNAcentral. Lineage: Bacteria; Pseudomonadati; Pseudomonadota; Gammaproteobacteria; Enterobacterales; Enterobacteriaceae. RNAcentral also lists the same sequence under 1 other name.